GUGGGGAAUUUUGGACAAUGGGCGCAAGCCUGAUCCAGCAAUGCCGCGUGCAGGAAGAAGGCCUUCGGGUUGUAAACUGCUUUUGUACGGAACGAAACGGUCCUGGCUAAUAUCCGGGGCUAAUGACGGUACCGUAAGAAUAAGCACCGGCUAACUACGUGCCAGCAGCCGCGGUAAUACGUAGGGUGCGAGCGUUAAUCGGAAUUACUGGGCGUAAGCGUGCGCAGGCGGUGCUGUAAGACAGGCGUGAAAUCCCCGGGCUCAACCUGGGAAUUGCGCUUGUGACUGCAGUGCUGGAGUGCGGCAGAGGGGGAUGGAAUUCCGCGUGUAGCAGUGAAAUGCGUAGAUAUGCGGAGGAACACCGAUGGCGAAGGCAAUCCCCUGGGCCUGCACUGACGCUCAUGCACGAAAGCGUGGGGAGCAAACAGGAUUAGAUACCCGAGUAGUCC
RNAcentral lists this ribosomal RNA (449 nucleotides) under uncultured bacterium. RNAcentral describes it as "partial 16S ribosomal RNA". It matches the Rfam family "Bacterial small subunit ribosomal RNA", at positions 354 to 796 of the family's 1533-position model. The record is from RNAcentral.